CGCGGGAGAGAACUAACAAGGAUUCCCCUAGUAACUGCGAGUGAAGCGGGAAAAGCUCAAAUUUAAAAUCUGGCGUUCUCUUUUGAACGUUCGAGUUGUAAUCUAGAGAAGCGCUUUCCGCGCCGGACCGUGUACAAGUCUCUUGGAAUGGAGCGUCGUAGAGGGUGACAAUCCCGUCUUUGACACGGAUCGCCGGUGCUUUUGUGAUGCGCUCUCGAAGAGUCGAGUUGUUUGGGAAUGCAGCUCAAAACGGGUGGUAAAUUCCAUCUAAAGCUAAAUACAGGCGAGAGACCGAUAGCGAACAAGUACCGUGAGGGAAAGAUGAAAAGAACUUUGAAAAGAGAGUUAAACAGUACGUGAAAUUGUUGAAAGGGAAACGAUUCAAGUCAGUCGCGUCGCCCGGCAAUCAACCCUUUGCUAAAGAGGGCUCACUUUCCGGGUCGACGGGUCAGCGUCAAUUUUGACCGUCAGACAAAGGCGCGAGGAAUGUGGCAUCUUCGGAUGUGUUAUAGCCUCCCGUCACAUAUGAUGGUUGGGAUUGAGGAUCUCGACACGCCGCAAGGUCGGGGCUUUUUUACCGCCAACUUACGUUGCUCGGGAGGUGGGCUUAUGGGCUGGAACGAACCGGCUUGGAAACACGGACAAGGGAGUCUACAUUGCUGCCAAUGGUUGGGUGGGAAAACCCGACGCCAAAUUGAAAUUGAAACUGGUGGGAAUCUUGGUCUUGAGGACCACGAACGCCCGGACAGGACUUUUUGCGACGAAUCUGCGGUGGACAUGCAUGUGGGACCCGAAAGAUGUUGAACUUAUGCCUGAUAGGGUGGAGCAGAGGAACUUCUGUGAGGCCUCGUAGCGAUUCUGACGUGCAAUCGAUCGUCGAUUUGGGUUAUAGGGCGAAGACUAUCGAUCAUCUAGUAGCUGUCUGCGAGUUCCUCAGAUAGCAGACUCCGCUGUCAGAUUAUUGUGUAAGCGAUGAUAGAG
This 981-nucleotide ribosomal RNA is filed under the name Hygrocybe cf. miniata. RNAcentral describes it as "partial large subunit ribosomal RNA". It matches the Rfam family "Eukaryotic large subunit ribosomal RNA", at positions 49 to 1025 of the family's 3401-position model. The record is from RNAcentral. Lineage: Eukaryota; Fungi; Basidiomycota; Agaricomycetes; Agaricales; Hygrophoraceae.